GCCCCUUGUGACUCCAGCCUCCAAUGUUCUGUUGCCCCCCAUCCACUGGAAUCGACGUCCCAGCACUGAAGUGGGGCAGACUGCAUGGGGAACGCCGCCCAAGAGCUUGUAUCUGAGACAGGUUUCAGAGGGAUUUCGAAUGCCGCUGUCCGUUUGCCGUGUGGAGAACGGGUUUCGUUAUGAAGGGGAUGUCCACACUUCAAACACCCUAUGAGUGCAGCGUCCGCGUAGACGCUGCCGGUGGGGAGGUUUCCCAUCGGCGUUGGGAAUCCACCUCCUCGAGAGGCUGUAGCCAGGUUGAUGGAAGAAUUCCUCCGUCUACUUAGUGCUGUUUACACCAGGGGUGGGUCGGUGUUGCUGCAUCUCUCGGGUUUUUCACACCGUAGCUGCACUGAUGUAAGUUCCUAGUGCAAACCAGGCCUAGGAGAUUGGCUGGUAUGUGCGAUACGCAUGCUCGCAGUCUUCCCCCCGCUGACUGGCAGCUACUAACACCUGCCUGGGCUUGUACACACAAUAGCUCUGCUGAGCGCAAGGCCUGAUAUUGGUCUUUCUAGAAAUCUUUCCGCAAAGGCCUCAUCUGCACUAGGAAGUCCAUCGGUCGGGUGUGGAAAAUCCAGUGUUGUCCCAAGUCCCUGUGGAGACAGCGCUAGCUGCUUAGCUCCUGCCUCUGGGGCAGUGGGUAUCCUAUGCGGACAGGAGUGCCAGUCCCAUCGGCGCAGGGCGUGUCUAUGCUAUAGGGCCAAGUAUAGACAAGCCCCAGGAGUUCAGCGAAGGUGCAAAGAAAAGGGGUGUGCACCAGUCAUGGUCCAGAAGCCAGGAGAGAAGAGAGGUAACUGAGUGAGCAACGGGCUGCACCUCAUCGCAUUUGACCUGCAGGUUGCUUGAGGACAUAAUCUACCCAAGGUUAUCGAUGAAAAUGGUCAAUAGCGUAGGCCAAGAACCAGUCCCUGAAGGAUCCCACUAGAAACACACCCACUUGAAGUUGCUGUUUAACAUCCCCCUGAGGUACCAUUGGAACUGAAAGAGUUUCAUCCUAGGCUAUGACUGCAUCAGUGCCGGAGUCCUAAAAAAAUAAGUUCCAGAACACAAAAUUUCAACAAGAAUACCUUGUAAUUGUCCCAGUGGAGCCAGAGCCUGCUGCAGCACAACCACAAGCUGCUGCUGCCCUUGAUAGGGCUCCUGGCCAGGAUUUACAGUUCUUGCUGUUCAGCUCCCUCUAGGGGUUGGUGGACAGUCGUUCUGCCCUGCUGCUUCACCUAUACUUGCCCCCAAGCUGGAGCCGCUGCAAGACAUCCAGGUUUAUUGGAGAUGAGGUGGGCCUCGUGCCGCGGUCAUCUACCAUCACACAGAGAGGGACAUACACCUGGCCGUAUGGGGCUGUAUCACCAUGGUCAGAAGUACUGGAAUGGCCUCCUGGAACAUUUUGACACAGGGCUUGGGCCAAGAAAAGCAGCGCCACUGAACUGGUUCCCGGCUGAGAAGUAGAGUCUGGAUGCAGCAAAACAAGAUCUCUUCCCUGCCGAGAAGCAGCCUCUGCAGCGGGACCAGAGCGGCAGCCCAGGUCUCCAGGGAGAGCUGCCAGGGGUGGAGGAAGCACCAGUCGUGGGUGAGAUCUACGCUCCGCAACUACCAACUGUGUGCCAAGGGACAGAACAAAAUGGCAGCGCAGGCUGCUAACUGUGAGUAGGGAGCCAGGCUGGUGCCCAUACUGCAUUAGCCACUCAGUGCACCCAUCACUUCCCUUCCACCUUGAAAUUCUUUAGACUGCAGGUGUCACCCCAGGUAACAAUCCAAGCCAGCUCUUUGCACAAACGGGUUUUAUUCCAUAACACCAACCCACCAUCGGAGCGGCUCAGAUACACAGGCAGCAAAGAACAGGGGGAGGGUGUGUGUGUGUGGUGUCUGCCACUGUCUCUCUAUCCCCCCCCCCCCCCCACCACCA
Molecule: long non-coding RNA, 1942 nt
Organism: Malaclemys terrapin pileata
Lineage: Eukaryota; Metazoa; Chordata; Testudines; Emydidae
Exons: 5
Source: RefSeq, a predicted model, not a curated record